RNAcentral lists this ribosomal RNA (274 nucleotides) under uncultured bacterium. RNAcentral's name for it is "partial 16S ribosomal RNA". It matches the Rfam family "Bacterial small subunit ribosomal RNA", at positions 523 to 796 of the family's 1533-position model. The record is from RNAcentral.
AUACGGAGGGUGCAAGCGUUGUUCGGAAUUACUGGGCGUAAAGCGCGCGUAGGCGGUCUGUUAUGUCAGAUGUGAAAGUCCUCGGCUCAACCGGGGAAGUGCAUUUGAAACAGGCAGACUAGAGUACUGGAGGGGGUGGUGGAAUUCCCGGUGUAGAGGUGAAAUUCGUAGAUAUCGGGAGGAAUACCGGUGGCGAAGGCGACCACCUGGCCAGAUACUGACGCUGAGGUGCGAAAGCGUGGGGAGCAAACAGGAUUAGAAACCCUAGUAGUCC